GUGCCAGACUAUCUGAAUUUCUAAUACAAUGACGGAAGGCUUCUGGGUACAGUCAAGUACUUGUAAAAUCUGUGUGUUGAUCAAGAUGGGAUUGAUCCCUCUAGAUUAUUAGAGUUAAUGGAUCAUCAUAUUUUAAUUUAGUAAAGCAUUGAUCAAGAUAAUUCAUGAGAUGGAUUUGAAAGGUUGAAAUACAAUGUGGAUGAAGCAAUCUCAAUUGACAGUUAACCUG
This 229-nucleotide long non-coding RNA is filed under the name Elaeis guineensis (African oil palm). RNAcentral's name for it is "long non-coding RNA (EGUI_LNC041376)". Lineage: Eukaryota; Viridiplantae; Streptophyta; Magnoliopsida; Arecales; Arecaceae. The record is from RNAcentral.